Molecule: ribosomal RNA, 883 nt
Filed under: uncultured bacterium
Lineage: Bacteria
Description: bacterial SSU rRNA
Rfam family: Bacterial small subunit ribosomal RNA
Source: RNAcentral
GAGUUCUCGUUGAUGAUCGGUGCUUGCACCGAGAUUCAACAUGGAACGAGUGGCGGACGGGUGAGUAACACGUGGGUAACCUGCCCUUAAGUGGGGGAUAACAUUUGGAAACAGAUGCUAAUACCGCAUAGAUCCAAGAACCGCAUGGUUCUUGGCUGUAAGAUGGCGUAAGCUAUCGCUUUUGGAUGGACCCGCGGCGUAUUAGCUAGUUGGUGAGGUAAUGGCUCACCAAGGCGAUGAUACGUAGCCGAACUGAGAGGUUGAUCGGCCACAUUGGGACUGAGACACGGCCCAAACUCCUACGGGAGGCAGCAGUAGGGAAUCUUCCACAAUGGACGCAAGUCUGAUGGAGCAACGCCGCGUGAGUGAAGAAGGCUUUCGGGUCGUAAAACUCUGUUGUUGGAGAAGAAUGGUCGGCAGAGUAACUGUUGUCGGCGUGACGGUAUCCAACCAGAAAGCCACGGCUAACUACGUGCCAGCAGCCGCGGUAAUACGUAGGUGGCAAGCGUUAUCCGGAUUUAUUGGGCGUAAAGCGAGCGCAGGCGGUUUUUUAAGUCUGAUGUGAAAGCCCUCGGCUUAACCGAGGAAGCGCAUCGGAAACUGGGAAACUUGAGUGCAGAAGAGGACAGUGGAACUCCAUGUGUAGCGGUGAAAUGCGUAGAUAUAUGGAAGAACACCAGUGGCGAAGGCGGCUGUCUGGUCUGUAACUGACGCUGAGGCUCGAAAGCAUGGGUAGCGAACAGGAUUAGAUACCCUGGUAGUCCAUGCCGUAAACGAUGAAUGCUAGGUGUUGGAGGGUUUCCGCCCUUCAGUGCCGCAGCUAACGCAUUAAGCAUUCCGCCUGGGGAGUACGACCGCAAGGUUGAAACUCAAAGGAAUUGAC